AAGUCGUAACAAGGUCAUCGUAGGUGAACCUGCGGUGGGAUCAUUACCAAUCUCUAUCUGCAAAGAUACGCGUGCGGAGACUGUAUUAUACUGUGCCUCCCCCCUAGAGAUAGGGGAGAGGCAGCUGCUUACACAGCAAACACAGCUUGGAUGGACACUAUAAAGAUCUUGGUACUAUAAUGAUACAACUACACACAACUAUACAUGGUGGAUCACUUGGCUCUC
Molecule: unclassified non-coding RNA, 225 nt
Filed under: fungal sp.
Lineage: Eukaryota; Fungi
Description: partial internal transcribed spacer region
Rfam family: Eukaryotic small subunit ribosomal RNA (bases 1-46)
Source: RNAcentral